UAAACAUUAAAAAGAAACAUUGACUGACUAUGGGUUUGUCCUUUUUGGUCGUUUCAACAUUAAAAACCAUUUACUUGAGUCUUACGAGUCUCAAUGAAUUGACUCAAUAGACGUCCGAUUCAUUGAUUUCAGUCAGUGGCAUUGUUUUUAUCAUCUAAAACCUACAGCGGGUUUAUUUGCUUUUGCGUAACAAUUACCCAAAAUUGAAAGUUAAUAUUAAACUGGCUAUUGCGUCAUAUCAAAAAAGUUUGCGAAUAAGGGAGACCACGCAAAGGGAUGAAUUACAUACAAACAAAAGGUUAUGCUUUUAAUGGCUUUAAAUGUGCAUAUUAAAUUUGUAUUAAUAAAAAACUUGGGCUGACCAGUGAUUACAAUUUUUAUUGCGAUUAACUGCAUGAGAUUAAAUGUGAUUAAUUCCAUCAUCAUGCAACAAAACCAUUAAUAAAUUCAAAAGUACUCCAACAGUUGUAAUGGUCAUACCUAGAGAUGUCCCGAUCGAUAUGCCGAUCGAUCGGGUCCGAUCACGUUAUUUCCAAAGUAUCGUAAUCGGCAAAAAAAUAUCGGCCACGCCUUUUUUUAAAAAUAUAUAUAUAUAUUUUUUAAUUAAAUCGUUUUCUAACUGUAUUUAACGUUACAGACAUAAUAUGUUACACUCAUCCAGACUCUUUAGUUUAGGCUUAAGGUAGGGUUAUCAAAUUCAUCCCGAUAACGACAGUCAUUAAUUUUUUAAAAAAUGUAUCACGUUAAAAUAUUUGAUGCAAUUAAUGCAUGCGCUGCACGACCCACUCACGUAUUGUCGCGCUCAAUCUGUAAUGGCGCCGUUUUACCUAUAUAGAGAGAUAAAAGGCAGUGUAAAAUGAGUAGAGUGAAUUUUGGCAGCCUUUGGAGCCUUUUUCGCUAAAUUGGCUAAAGCCUUACAAUCCCUCUCCCUACAAUUAGAAAUAUCAUGGGAAGCAAUGUGGGGAAGCAAGGUAGCAAUUGAUCUUUUUCUUAACACCUUAUGUUAUUUCCCAACGCAGAGAAGAUAUAUCAAUUGGUAGCACUACGCACAGUCAUGGUUCCACUUCCCAUCAUGCAUUUGGGCAUGGCUACAGUAUCAUUUACUGAAAACUAAACAAAUACACUAGAUGGCAAUAUUUAGUCACAAUAUACAAAGUCAAAAGUCUUUCUAUCCGUGGAUCCCUCUCACAGAACGAAUGUUAAUAAUGUAAAUGCCAUCUUGAGGAUUUAUUUUAAAAAAACAUGAUUGGAACAACCCUACUAAUUAUAGCAAGGUAGCAUAUAGUAUAUUAGUGUAUAUGGUGGUUGUACAAAUAUAUAAAUAAAUAAUAAACAAAAAAUAGAGUAAAGUUGUUGUUUUUUUUACUGCAUUUGUUUAUUUAAUACAAAUUUUAAAGAAAUGAAAUGCAAAAGAAACAAAGUUUUUUAUCAAGAAGUUAAAAAAUGAGGAUUUGGACAAUUUUUAGUACUCUAAAUCAAAGACGAUUUGGCUAACAGAUGGACAAGCAUCGUUGAAAGUUGACUUUAGCUUGAGCUAUGCUAGCUUGUUCUGUAGUGAUUAAUAUUUAAAAAGAAAAACGGGUACACACAAACAUUCAUCUCAGUAGUUAACAACAUAUUGAGUAAGGGGCUGCAUAAUACAGGUAGUCCCCGGGUUACGACGUACUCGACUUCGGUGAUUUUGACUUUACGAUGCUGGAGUCUCGUCCGCUAUUUUGUCGUUUUUUUUUUUCCAAUCACGUAAACAGUACCUUGUUGUACCUCACAUUAUCUUUUUUUUUUUUUUUUACUUAAUUUUAUUAAUAUGAUGUUUUCUGUCCUCACUAAAUGUGAAGUUGUUCAGCUUGACAGACAGCAAACAAGGUAACUGUGGUUUUUGAAGCUUUUUACUUCUUUCACUUUUGACAUUUUGUAAAGCUGUAACAGUCCGCUAUCUUAAAUGCUUUAAAUGCUAACGUAUUUACAAUUCUUAUAGCAAAUCGCUCACACAUAACUCCACAAACUAUAGCUCUAACCUUAAUUACAAAUGUAUACACAAACAUAUAUUAGCUAAAACAACUUACAGCUUUAUGUGGGCCAAACCAGAGCGCAGCUGUUUUUUAUCCAUGUCAGACGAGUCUGCUACUCAGCUCAGUCAUACAAGCUGACAGACCAACCAGACCCAAUGCUGCCACCAGAGGGCAUUGUAUCCUCCGUCAUAAAAACAAAAUACAAAAUUUAUGGACUUUUUGGAUAGCAAUUUUGAGAUUUAGGGUUACUUAAAGGGUCAAUUCCGAUUUACUCGGAAAUUGGGAUUACCGUGAUUUCCUGAAUAUAAGGCGCACCCGUGUAUAACGCGCACCCCAAAUUUACUUGUAAAAUCUAGGGGAAAUUAUUGUACCUGUGCUUAACGCGCUCCCUAAUUUUAGCACCAAUAAAUAGAAGAAUACAAGAAAACAGAGCUCAUGUACAGACACAGAAAUGUCAUUUUACUGACUGGUGAAACACAGCACAAGCAUAGCACAUUGGUAGUUCAAAACAUUACCGUAAACUGACAAUAUGUACGAUAAUAAUAAGCUGAUAACUUCUUGAACUUACCAGAAUCCAGGAGAAAACAAAACAGAUGUGACUUUUCUUUUAAAGGCUGCUGUAUAACUUGCUCGUUUCAACAUGAUGAAUAAAUGUUUCCUCCAUGGAUUGAUACGGUAAAAUGAAAGUGAGAACGUAAGUCGGAAAUCCGAGAGAGCUCAUCGCUGUCGACACGACAGUAACAGUAGGAACUAUUUUUAUUUGGGUUUAAGUUUCCCGAGGGACAGAUAUAGUUGACGGACACAGGAAGUCUGUGUUGUGUUACGUUUUUUAUGGUCUGAGUUGCGGAGCUGCAAUAAACGUUGACUCAAAUGAGUUCAAGAAAUUAAAUUCUGUGCUUUAUGAAGAGUGAAAAAAGCAGAAUUUAACACGGACGAAAUUAUUCGGCCGAUCAGAGUGAAGUAUUACCGAAAAAAAAAAAGUUAAUGUCACGUGCCGUAAUGGUCGGCAACGGAUCGCUGCAUACGUUUCUUCAACACAACAUGGCUGUGUCAAUAAAAAAAAUAGUUUUAUAUAUAUAUAUUUAAAAAUAUAUUUGUGUCGCCAUCCAUGUACCCGUGUAUAAUGCGCACCAUGAUUUUACAAGUUGAUCUUGGGGGAAAAAAGUGCGCGUUAUAUUCAGGAAAUUACGGUAUGCUGCCAGCGUAGGAACGGAACUUGUUCAUUACCCGGCGACUACCUGUACUGUGCCGCGAUUGGCCCACUGGCUGUAAGUUUAAGAUGUGAAAUGUGUUGGGUCCCCAUGGCAACUAAAGUAACCUCCCUGAAGAUGGAUUGUAGACAACAAAAGAAUGAGUAGACCCAGGGUAAAAAAAAUCUCAAGAAGCCAUCCCUGAGGGCACACAAAAGUUUGCUCCAUUUUGAGAUCAUUUACAGGUCAAUUUGUCCAAUUUCCAGGGGUCCUUUGUCCAAAAGUCAUCCCUUCAUUGCGUAAUGCUGUGUUUUUGGCUUUGUGUACUCUUGUGUAAGAAAGUAAUUUCCCCCAAAACAUGCCAAAUUCAUUUUAAAUCGGCUGGCACACCCCGAAAGGAAGAUAUUGGGGACGAAGUUGCAUAUAAAGCAGCGAAGAGGAGAAACUCCACAUCCUAAACAAGAUGAAGACCGUCCAGAUUGCUCUUCUCGUCUUUGUGCUCAUCAGCCAGGGUGAGGCCCUGGUGUGUAACUGCGGAGGAAUACAUAGUACAUGUAUAUCUACUGAGACCUGCUCAGGUUUCAACGAUGUCUGUGCGACUUACCACAUGCCUUACACCUCUCUGGAAACCUAUAAAGGCUGCGCAUCAUGGAGUGAUUGCUUUUUGAAGUCCAGCUCCGAGUCAGCUACCUGUUGCUCGUCUAGCUGGUGCAACUGAUACGAGUUCCUGUUCAUGAAUGGCAUGGAUUUACUUUACAAAUAAAUGAGUGGAGAAAAAAGUACUGUAAAGUUUUCAUUCAUUCAUCUUUCUGAACCGCUUAUCCUCACGCAGGUGCUGGAGCCGAUCCCGGCUAACAAUGAGUAGGCAUGGGGUUGCCAAGGAUGUAGGAUGUAGGUAACGCGUUACUACUGUCAGUAAUCUGUCAGUCAAUCUUGUCAGUAAUCUGUCAGUUACUGGCCAGUAAUCUGAUUAAAGUUAGUUUCCUCGGUGCCUGUGCGUUACUAUUUUGUUGUUGCCUCAUACUGUAUGUAGAAUGAAGAAUAUUGUUGUCAUGUACGCUGAGCAUUUGAAAAGAAAAUACUGCGCUUGAGUUUGGGAGUGACAUCACAUCUCACGUUUUGUCAUCGGGGGGUAAAAAACGGGUCACGUGUAAAACCAUGUUGCCUGUGCGCGCGCCGUCUGCCACGGCGGUCAACAACAUAGCCUGCUAGCUAUCAGGAUGCUAACAGUAAAGGAGCAGGAGAGAUACAACAAACGGCUGCAUUUGCUCACUGGAGAUACAGCCAUUACUUCACAUAUCCGUCCAGUAAAGAUGACAAAAAUAUCGCCGUGCGUUGCAAACUCUGUGCUGGCUCAGAAAGACUGUCGACCGCUAUAUACUCGACAUCCAAUUCAACAAGGAAGCACUUGGAAUUACAGCACUACAUGUCGCGAAAAAAAAAAGCCGACAGGUAACGAGACAGCCAGCUCUUCUACAGGUUGUAACCAGCCUUUAUAAUAUGUGUAAUUAUGUACAUUUUUAUAGUUAGAGUUUGUAAUUAUAGGCGGAGUUUUACAUUUGUGGGACUGGGGGGAGAAGCAUGUUGAAGACUGAAACGAAAGUCAGAAGUUUGGACACACAUUUUGCGUUUGAAGACAUCAAAACUAUGAACGAACAUGUGGAAGGGCAAAAAAUGUGAAAUAAUUGAAAACAGGUUUUGUUUUCUACAUUCUUUAAAGUAUCCACCUUUGAGGUGUCUCCAAACUUUUGGCCAAUGCUGUAUGUAUGUAUAUAUAUAUAUAUAUAUAUAUAUUAGGGCUGUCAAAAUUAUUGCGUUAACGCGCGGUAAUACAUUUUUUAAAUUAAUCACGUUAAAAUAUUUGACGCAAUUAACGCACAUGUCCCGCUCAGACAGCAUUCUGCCUUUUGCUAAGUUUUACAGCAAGGCUGUAAAAAAAAACAAAAAAACAACAACAGCGAACUCUUGUGGUCGCUUUGCGACAUGGUUUAUUUUUUUCUUGCCAGUUCAUAUGGCUGCACGACGUCUCGGGCUGAAGCCUACGUUGUAAUGUUAUGCUUAUAUGAUCCUUGGACAAGAUUUGUCCGUAAGUAUGGUUGUUGUAAAGAAUGUACAUAUUAUGUUAGUAAACGAAAUGUUCUAUUUUUUGUAUGAGACUCUACAAAACAGUAAAAGCGCAAACUAUGUGGCGAAUCAAUCAUUCGAACACUUUCAUUAAAAAUGGACUGCACAUCUAUCACCGUUAUUUGCAAUUAAAGAGAUAUUAGUAAAGUAAAAAGUAACCGGUAUAAAAGUAUUUUAUUUGUUUGUCUUUGCCCAGUGUGUUUGUUUGCUAUUGAGCAAGACUUUCCUGCACUACAUGCAAAGUUAAUAUUAAACUCGAUUUGGCCGAGACGCCAGCCCGGGAUAAAUCAAGCCACUUUCACACAUACAACCAGGUUUAUUCCCGGGACAAUUCCCCAUGUGGUAAAGCCAUGACACGGCUAAAUACUGCGUCACCUUAAAAGGGAAUUUACCAGGAUAUAAGUGAAAGGGGCUUCAGGCAACUUUUUUUACAUACAGUUUGAAACGUCCAGGUGGCUAUAAUUAAUUGAAAAUAAUGUACUGUUUUCUGCUGAGUGUGUAUAGUCACCAAGUUGGCAUUGUCCUGGUAGAUGCUACAAUAUGUGCUCAACUGGCAAAGUUCAAUUGGAAUAGUUGGAAACCUUUAUUUAUUUAUUUUUCAAUUUUCCAGACGAAAACAUUUUUAGAAAAUGUCGACGACACGAAACUACACGAAAUUAGUCUUGAGUUUUCGUCAAGAAAAACAAAACAAAGACAAACACAAAUUGAGAUCACAAAAAUAUGACUAAUACUAAUCAGUGUUAUUGUCCAAAAGACUAAGGGCUGCCAAAAAAACAACACUGUUCAAAACCUGUGCCAUUGAUCGUCAAAAUCUUAAUUUUUUAUUCUUUAUCCAUCAAGGUAAACAAUUGAUGACAUACAUCAAAAGUUGCAAAAAUCAGUCCCGCAGCAGGAACGUCUAGACCCAUCAGUUACCCGGCAAUACGCCGGUGCAACGCAGCCUUUAAAUGUGACGCCACUUUUGGGGGAAACAAAACCUA
Long non-coding RNA from Corythoichthys intestinalis (scribbled pipefish), 6303 nucleotides. RefSeq lists it as uncharacterized. The transcript has 3 exons. The record is from RefSeq and is a predicted model, not a curated record. NCBI's taxonomy places the organism in Eukaryota, Metazoa, Chordata, Actinopteri, Syngnathiformes, Syngnathidae.